Non-coding RNA from Dipodomys ordii (Ord's kangaroo rat), 66 nucleotides. Lineage: Eukaryota; Metazoa; Chordata; Mammalia; Rodentia; Heteromyidae. The record is from Rfam.
GGUGGCUCAGUGGUAGGAGUGUUUGCCUUGCAUGCAUGAGGCCCUGGGUUCGAUUCCUCAGCACCA